GAACAUCUUACGCGAAAAACUCACAGCAGAAAGCAUCACGAGAACUCCCCAAACGGUUUUGCAUUUUCUGGAGAGGGAGGUUAAACUAUGGAAAUUAUUAGCAAUUUUUCUCAAUCAGAUGAGCCACUGCUACAUUCCUCUCCAACUUGUUGUUGCUAUACUAAGGUAAUUUUGUUUAAGAUAUUUCCAUCUUUUUUAUACCAGCGUUUCUUAUUAAUACUUGAGCUUUUUUCUAUUGAACUGAAGAUGUUUUGUCUGUAGCCGGCUUGAUUUUUGAGAAUAGACGUCUCAGUCAUUUUCAGGGGAUUUUCCGUUCUUUGAACAACCAUAGGCAUUAUUGUUUGCUGAAGAUUCUUUUAAUAAUGGUUUCUAUUUCUGGCUUUGAUUUUAGAUUUUAGCUUUCUCCAGUCCUGCCUAGGACUUUCAUGUUUUCAGUAAAGUCUCGUCAUUUUUCCUUAAUUGGGAGAGGCACUCACUGCUGUGACUGUAAAGCCUAUUUGCUGAAGGAAGUGCUGAAGUUGCAGUUAUGCAGUUCAAUGAUGUUCAGUUGAUUGUUUCCCUCGUUUACUAUAUUUUAUAUAUAGUGGAUAUAUGUUUAUUCAUUUAUUUAUUUCAGAUGGUAUAUGAUCUUCCUGCUGAUGUUGUUUUUUAGAAUAAAAUUUUAGACCUUAGUAGAUUUUUGGUCUUCUUUUAUAAAUACAAAAAUUUAAAGGCCACUUAUGUUUUCAUCUAUUUUAUCUCUUCCACAAUCAUAUAGGCUGGAUUACGACGAACAUGAGAUGCAAUAAAUGUUACUUUUGGUUCAUCCUUUAGUUGAAUACUACUCAAGGUUUAGCCUAAUGUGUUUGUUACAUUUUUGUGGUGGCAUGUGUUUUCAGACACGAGGCUAUUGGUUCAUGCCCCAGAUUCCACUUUGCUAAUUUCAUCCUCAAAAUUUCAAUUGUUAUGGAAGACAGACUUUAUCCAGUUUCAUGUUGAAUGAAAUUACUAUGACCUGCCAUUAACUUGUAAUGAUUGGCGAUUAAAGCGCUUCUAGAACUUGUUAUUAAACAUCUGAUCAGAUUCAUGUCUUUGAAAAAUUACUCUUUUUUAAGUUAUAGUCGAAAAGUACUUUUCUAGAAGUUAUACAACUCCUACACAGGUACCUAGUCUUAUAUUCUCACUGAUAAAUGCAAGCAUGUCAAAAGAUGAAACUUCUAUAUGUACUCACUACUCAGUGAGUACUACUCACCAAGUUGUCUCCUCGUUUCCUUACUUCAUGGUUUAAACCUUUAGGCUCAUAUUCAAUUUUGUGAUCGCUAGAGAAUCAUUAUCUGCUUAAUGUGAUUAGUCCAGCAGGUUAUUUUAUUUUCAUUAUGUCUUCCUGCAUCAAGGUGUACAAAAGUUUAGACACUUAUGUUUGGUUACCAUUUUCUCAUUGCUGUCCUAAUUUCCAAGACAAUUUGAUCUCAUCUUCUUUGCUGUUGGAUCGACUAUGCUUUGUUUGUUUAACUUGUUUAACAUUUCAGUUGGUUUUAGGAGGUCUUUUCCUUUGGCAUAUUGAGUACAUUCCUCGUAGGAAUUGUCUUCAUCUAUAGUAUUAGCAUCUGAUCCUCGAAAUGAAAGGGUUUUGAGAGGCUUCUAUGAAGUGACUGGUACACUUGCCAAUUGUCUGGUAUAGUGAUCCGAUGACUUGUGUUGGGGAUGCAUUGAUUUUCAUAGGUUGUGCAUGCAUGAAUGAAUAGGUCUCUAUCUUUUUCUUAAUUCCAGUCUGUUAAUAUAACAAAAAUUGCAAUUGCCUGCAUUUUCACAAAUAAUGUAGUCGAUUAACUUCUUGAUGUGAAAUUAUUCAUUCUUGGAUCUAUUUUUGAAAUUAUUUGAACUGCUACAUGUACAACACUAUGCCUUAAUAAGCAAGGUUAGGACUCAAUUUCCUUACUCAUCACUUCAAUAACAAAUUCAAGUGGUUAGUUAUUAGCUUGAGAUGUAUAUUUAUUCAUUAAAUUACACAAAUUCAAAACUCUUCGACUCCUUUGGAUAUGGAGAUCCUGAUUCUUGCAUGCUUGUGUUUUUGUCUACGAAGCAUUAAUGAUGUUUUGAUACUUCUAUUAAUUGAUUAAUUCACACAUGCAUUCAUAUUUGUUUCCAGCAGGACUUGCACAUGCGAGAUUGAUUCUUUGAUCAAGUAGUUGGAGAGAUUCUUUUGAUAGAUGACAAUGAGAGCAAUGUCAUGUUAAAUUGUGUCCAUCUCAUCUAAAUGUUUAAGUUGUUAGUUUGGUUCAAAUUCCAACCGUGAUAAAAAGAGUUAGGUGAUUUAUUCCCAUCCGUCUAAACUUUGGUGGAUAGAGUCAUCUAAUAACCAGUAAUCCAUGCUGGUGGAAGUUAGCAGGUAUUCGAUGAUUAGUCGACAUGCACGCAAAUUGGCCCGGGCACCAAUUUUAUUUAUAAGAAGUUUAAGAUGUUAAAGGAGGGAAACUUUUUUUUAUUUGUUUACAUCUGCAACUGUUACGUACUUGAUAAAUUUGAAGUAUGGUGAUCGAACUACUAUGUUACGUACUGAAGCAUUCUCCCAGCCUUCUUGGCGCUUGUUUAAAAUAAUAGAUAUUUGUUUUAUUUAUUAUAUAUUGUUUUGCAAUACAGAUGAGCUGAUGUAUAAUAGAGAUUGUUGUACUCAACACUCUAUAUUUACAUAUUCUAGAUUAGAUGAUAGUUUAGGCAUCUCCUUGUACUUGUUUUAUCCAUAACUGAUUUAGUAAAUUUCUAAUGUUCGAUGCUUUUAAAUUACUUGCUAGCUUUUGAAUAUUAAAACUGUACAAGUAUGCUGACAGCCUGUUUGAAUAGAUUGGAAUAUGUAUCUGAGAGCUUCUUCUGUUUUCAAAAUGUUCGUUAAGGAAUUAUUCUUGGAAAUUGGCAAAUCUCAUGUAGUUAGAUCAUAUCCUUAUCUUUUGUUGCCGGACAUGGUUGAUAUGAUUAGGAGCAAUGAAUGCCAUCUUGACUCCAUUUAUUUUGUUUUCUUUCUUUUUGACUUUGAUAUUACUUGCAAUUCUCUGAUUCAAUACUCUAGUUUAGAAAAUGUUGCCAAUGGGGUCAAUUUUAAAGCUUUAUGGAACUUUAUCUAUUUUAUUGGAAGCAGGUAGUAUAUUUGGAAGACUGCCCUCCAAAAAAGUAGUCUUCUUUGCAUGAUAUGCUGAUUGGAUACUAACUUGAGAAAGGAAGCGCCAUCAUGAGUUGGUAUUGUAUGUGCAAGCAGGGUGAAGGAAGACACUAACGUGAGCUCGGAUCGGACUAUAGAGUUUAAGGUGUUUCCUAUUUAAUUCUUAAACAGUUGCAGAGAUCCUGUUGAGAGGUUGAGAAUGGUGAGUGAGGAGGAAAAUGUGAAGGCUAGCGCCUUAAUGCAUUUUUUAAAUAAUACAUUGAUAUGACGAGGUUCUCAUUGCAUCUAUCAAGCUGGUCUGGAAAGUGCAUUUUUGCUAGGCAGAAGCCAAGGCUUGACUUCGAAGAAGCGACUAGACUAGGAUUACCUGGGGCCACAAUACUGCUUAAUGGAGGAUGGAUCUGAUGAUUUCAGCAUUGCUUAUGCAAUAUUCAUGUGAUUUUGUGUAUGCACAGCCAUGGAAACCUACAAUGAUAUGCAUCUGUUUUCAAGAGUUGUUUUCAGUCUUUCAGAACUGGAUAAUGAUGAGGAAUUAGGUAAACACAAUGGAAUGUGCUAGGGCUGUAGCAAACACUUCCCGAUAAUAUUUCCGAAGCCAAAAUUGGUUAUUGUGGUUGUUAAUGGAAAUAACAAAAUUCAUGUAGGAUUUGCA
This 3785-nucleotide long non-coding RNA is filed under the name Nicotiana tabacum (common tobacco). RNAcentral describes it as "long non-coding RNA (NTAB_LNC008056)". Lineage: Eukaryota; Viridiplantae; Streptophyta; Magnoliopsida; Solanales; Solanaceae. The record is from RNAcentral.